RNAcentral lists this long non-coding RNA (267 nucleotides) under Bos taurus (domestic cattle). RNAcentral's name for it is "long non-coding RNA NONBTAT015697". The record is from RNAcentral. Lineage: Eukaryota; Metazoa; Chordata; Mammalia; Artiodactyla; Bovidae.
UUUCCCUUCUGAAUAACUCAUCAUGAAUAUUUAUAUAGUCAAUUAUUCCCCUUAACUUUUUCCUUAGUGACUAAUCUAAACAAGUUACUGUUUCUCCUUGAUGUGGACAAUGUGAGAGUCCCUGCAGACUACUAUUCCCUCCUGGCAAUGUGCUGUGGGGAUACAUAAUUUGGAAAAGCCAAGCACAUUUGGUUUUUGAGCUUUACCCAUGAGUCAAAUUCUCCAGCCACACUGGAAUUCUUUUUUCUUAAUCUUUUUGCCUGUCCA